RNAcentral lists this long non-coding RNA (210 nucleotides) under Capsicum annuum. Its description in RNAcentral is "long non-coding RNA (CANN_LNC005343)". Lineage: Eukaryota; Viridiplantae; Streptophyta; Magnoliopsida; Solanales; Solanaceae. The record is from RNAcentral.
CAUAGUAGUCACACAAAGCCUCUAACUAAAAUCCAAGAACAUUCAACGGGACAUGCCCCCGACCAUAGCCAAAACCAAAGUCUAGGAAAUAAUAAAAAGUAUGAAAAUAAGUCCAUAGCAUGAAAUGGAGUCUUUCGGAGUAUGGAAGCUCACCACUUCAGUCUGACACGAAUGCUAUCCUCGAAUCCAAGUCACUGAGCAGGAGAAGUA